GACGAACGCUGGCGGCGUGCUUAACACAUGCAAGUCGAGCGGAAAGGCCCUGCUUUUGUGGGGUGCUCGAGUGGCGAACGGGUGAGUAACACGUGAGUAACCUGCCCUUGACUUUGGGAUAACUUCAGGAAACUGGGGCUAAUACCGGAUAGGAGCUCCUGCUGCAUGGUGGGGGUUGGAAAGUUUCGGCGGUUGGGGAUGGACUCGCGGCUUAUCAGCUUGUUGGUGGGGUAGUGGCUUACCAAGGCUUUGACGGGUAGCCGGCCUGAGAGGGUGACCGGCCACAUUGGGACUGAGAUACGGCCCAGACUCCUACGGGAGGCAGCAGUGGGGAAUAUUGCACAAUGGGCGGAAGCCUGAUGCAGCAACGCCGCGUGCGGGAUGACGGCCUUCGGGUUGUAAACCGCUUUCGCCUGUGACGAAGCGUGAGUGACGGUAAUGGGUAAAGAAGCACCGGCUAACUACGUGCCAGCAGCCGCGGUGAUACGUAGGGUGCGAGCGUUGUCCGGAUUUAUUGGGCGUAAAGGGCUCGUAGGUGGUUGAUCGCGUCGGAAGUGUAAUCUUGGGGCUUAACCCUGAGCGUGCUUUCGAUACGGGUUGACUUGAGGAAGGUAGGGGAGAAUGGAAUUCCUGGUGGAGCGGUGGAAUGCGCAGAUAUCAGGAGGAACACCAGUGGCGAAGGCGGUUCUCUGGGCCUUUCCUGACGCUGAGGAGCGAAAGCGUGGGGAGCGAACAGGCUUAGAUACCCUGGUAGUCCACGCUGUAAACGGUGGGUACUAGGUGUGGGGUCCAUUCCACGGGUUCCGUGCCGUAGCUAACGCUUUAAGUACCCCGCCUGGGGAGUACGGCCGCAAGGCUAAAACUCAAAGGAAUUGACGGGGCCCCGCACAAGCGGCGGAGCAUGCGGAUUAAUUCGAUGCAACGCGUAGAACCUUACCUGGGUUUGACAUGGAUCGGGAGUGCUCAGAGAUGGGUGUGCCUCUUUUGGGGUCGGUUCACAGGUGGUGCAUGGCUGUCGUCAGCUCGUGUCGUGAGAUGUUGGGUUAAGUCCCGCAACGAGCGCAACCCUUGUUCACUGUUGCCAGCACGUUAUGGUGGGGACUCAGUGGAGACCGCCGGGGUCAACUCGGAGGAAGGUGGGGAUGACGUCAAGUCAUCAUGCCCCUUAUGUCCAGGGCUUCACGCAUGCUACAAUGGCUGGUACAGAGAGUGGCGAGCCUGUGAGGGUGAGCGAAUCUCGGAAAGUCGGUCUCAGUUCGGAUUGGGGUCUGCAACUCGACCUCAUGAAGUCGGAGUCGCUAGUAAUCGCAGAUCAGCAACGCUGCGGUGAAUACGUUCCCGGGGCC
RNAcentral lists this ribosomal RNA (1346 nucleotides) under uncultured bacterium. RNAcentral describes it as "partial 16S ribosomal RNA". It matches the Rfam family "Bacterial small subunit ribosomal RNA", at positions 28 to 1381 of the family's 1533-position model. The record is from RNAcentral.